Long non-coding RNA from Eucalyptus grandis, 754 nucleotides. RefSeq lists it as uncharacterized. Lineage: Eukaryota; Viridiplantae; Streptophyta; Magnoliopsida; Myrtales; Myrtaceae. The transcript is spliced from 2 exons. The record is from RefSeq and is a predicted model, not a curated record.
CACACUUUCCUGGUAGUAUCAUACUUCCUCAUUCCGUUGUCCACUGAGCACUCGCCUUUAUCAGGGUAUCCAACAAAUUCUUGAGGUUAUAGUCAAGAUGGCAGAUCACCAGUUGGAGAAUUUAAGGAGGAGAGUAGGCUCAAAUCCAAACUUAAAACAAAAUGGCCAGAUGCUGCAUGUUCACAGUCCGCUCGGUGGUUCUAAUGAGUGGGUCGUAUUGACCUAUAAUCUGCAGGUCAUAGGAGAUUACAUAAAGGAGAACUCGAAACUGCGUAAGAAGCUGGACCUUGUGGUCGAACAGUAUGUUAGCCAGCUAGAAAUUUAUGGGGGGAACAUGAAUCCUUACCCGGGUGAUCCCUCGGAAAACCCUGAUUUAUGGAAAAUAAUGAGUCGGAAGUUGGAAGCUUUAGAGCGAAGGGUCAAAAACCUGGAAGAACUCGCAGACGAAGCAUGACCUCGAUAUUGGCAAGUGCAAACUGGCGAAGGGAAGACGUUGUUCUGUACUGUGUCAAAGAUAACGUGUUCAGGGUGAUCCUCAUAAUAUAUUCAGGAAACUAUCCUUUUUUCUACUUCAGUUAGACAUGUGAGCUUGGCCUUAUCUGGAAGCCUAGGAUGUGUGGAUAAGUGAGGCCUUUUACCAUUUAGUCCGUUCAACUAAAGCGAACUUCUCGUCCUCUGUCCGCUUGAGGCUGGGGAAAUAUAUGUGUUUGUGUGAUCUUUACGUAUUCGUCUGAAUAAAAUCGUGUUCCUGCAA